Molecule: ribosomal RNA, 923 nt
Filed under: uncultured Thermococcales archaeon
Lineage: Archaea; Methanobacteriati; Methanobacteriota; Thermococci; Thermococcales
Description: bacterial SSU rRNA
Rfam family: Archaeal small subunit ribosomal RNA
Source: RNAcentral
UUCCGGUUGAUCCUGCCGGAAGCCACUGCUAUGGGGGUCCGACUAAGCCAUGCGAGUCAUGGGGCGCCUUGCGCGCACCGGCGGACGGCUCAGUAACACGUCGGUAACCUACCCUCGGGAGGGGGAUAACCCCGGGAAACUGGGGCUAAUCCCCCAUAGGCCUGAGGUACUGGAAGGUCCUCAGGCCGAAAGGGGCUCUGCCCGCCCGAGGAUGGGCCGGCGGCCGAUUAGGUAGUUGGUGGGGUAACGGCCCACCAAGCCGAAGAUCGGUACGGGCCAUGAGAGUGGGAGCCCGGAGAUGGACACUGAGACACGGGUCCAGGCCCUACGGGGCGCAGCAGGCGCGAAACCUCCGCAAUGCGGGAAACCGCGACGGGGGGACCCCCAGUGCCGUGGCAACGCCACGGCUUUUCCGGAGUGUAAAAAGCUCCGGGAAUAAGGGCUGGGCAAGGCCGGUGGCAGCCGCCGCGGUAAUACCGGCGGCCCGAGUGGUGGCCGCUAUUAUUGGGCCUAAAGCGUCCGUAGCCGGGCCUGUAAGUCCCUGGCGAAAUCCCACGGCUCAACCGUGGGGCUUGCUGGGGAUACUGCAGGCCUUGGGACCGGGAGAGGCCGGGGGUACUCCUGGGGUAGGGGUGAAAUCCUAUAAUCCCAGGAGGACCGCCAGUGGCGAAGGCGCCCGGCUGGAACGGGUCCGACGGUGAGGGACGAAGGCCAGGGGAGCGAACCGGAUUAGAUACCCGGGUAGUCCUGGCUGUAAAGGAUGCGGGCUAGGUGUCGGGUGAGCUCCGAGCUCGCCCGGUGCCGCAGGGAAGCCGUUAAGCCCGCCGCCUGGGGAGUACGGCCGCAAGGCUGAAACUUAAAGGAAUUGGCGGGGGAGCACUACAAGGGGUGGAGCGUGCGGUUUAAUUGGAUUCAACGCCGGA